CGGUGGAGCAUGUGGUUUAAUUCGAUGCAACGCGAAGAACCUUACCUGGCCUUGACAUCCAUGGAAUUCUGCAGAGAUGAAAUCCGCCAUAACAGGUGUGACGAGCGCAACCCUUGUCCUUAGUUGCCAUCGGGAUGUCAAGUAUCAUGGCCUUUAUGGCCAGGCUACAUACAUGGCAGGUACAAGGGAAGCCAACGCGCGAGCGGGAGCCUCCCAGAAAGCCUGUCGUAGUCCGGAUCGGAGUGCAACUCGACUCUGUGAAGUUGGAAUCGCUAGUAAUCGAGAUCAGCAUUGCUGCGGUGAAUACGUUCCCGGGUCUUGUACACACCGCCGUCACACCAUGGGAGUUUACUGCACCGGAAGCAGGUAGCCUAACCGCAAGGAUGGCGCCUACCACGUGUGGUCGAUGACUGGGGUGAA
This 420-nucleotide ribosomal RNA is filed under the name uncultured Gammaproteobacteria bacterium. RNAcentral describes it as "bacterial SSU rRNA". It matches the Rfam family "Bacterial small subunit ribosomal RNA", at positions 930 to 1484 of the family's 1533-position model. The record is from RNAcentral. Lineage: Bacteria; Pseudomonadati; Pseudomonadota; Gammaproteobacteria.